This is a non-coding RNA of Pelobates cultripes (western spadefoot toad), 220 nucleotides long. The record is from the annotation of a GenBank genome assembly. NCBI's taxonomy places the organism in Eukaryota, Metazoa, Chordata, Amphibia, Anura, Pelobatidae.
CUUCCUUUCUCGGUGGAUUCACCAGAGGAAUCUGUGCUUAAACUAAUUCCAUAUGUUACGAAAAAAAAAGUAUAGAAUUUGCUGCAGAAAAUCCUUAGACCUGAUCAGCGGUCUACAGAAAAUGAAUCUGCUGUGGAUUUCAAGUUUUAUCUUGCCAAACACCAGUGUAAGCUCAAAAACAUCCGUUUUCACCAAAACUAAUUUGUGCAUGACUUUUGAG